RNAcentral lists this ribosomal RNA (503 nucleotides) under uncultured bacterium. RNAcentral describes it as "partial 16S ribosomal RNA". It matches the Rfam family "Bacterial small subunit ribosomal RNA", at positions 30 to 523 of the family's 1533-position model. The record is from RNAcentral.
AUUGAACGCUGGCGGCAGGCUUAACACAUGCAAGUCGAGCGGGGUGAUGGUGCUUGCACUAUCACUUAGCGGCGGACGGGUGAGUAAUGCUUAGGAAUCUGCCUAUUAGUGGGGGACAACAUCUCGAAAGGGAUGCUAAUACCGCAUACGUCCUACGGGAGAAAGCAGGGGAUCACUUGUGACCUUGCGCUAAUAGAUGAGCCUAAGUCGGAUUAGCUAGUUGGUGGGGUAAAGGCCUACCAAGGCGACGAUCUGUAGCGGGUCUGAGAGGAUGAGCCGCACGACGGGGACUGAGACACGGCCCAGACUCGUACGGGAGGCAGCAGUGGGGAAUAUUGGACAAUGGGGGGAACCCUGAUCCAGCGAGGCGGGGUGUGUGAAGAAGGCCUUAUGGUUGUAAAGCACUUUAAGCGAGGAGGAGGCUCUUUUGGUUAAUACGCAAGAUGAGUGGACGUGACUCGCAGAAUAAGCACCGGCUAACUCUGUGCCAGCCGCCGCCGUAA